Molecule: ribosomal RNA, 492 nt
Filed under: uncultured bacterium
Lineage: Bacteria
Description: partial 16S ribosomal RNA
Rfam family: Bacterial small subunit ribosomal RNA
Source: RNAcentral
AGUGAACGCUGGCGGUAGUCCUAACACAUGCAAGUCGAACUGCCGCACAGUUAUAUCUUGCUCUUACGGCUGUCGAGUGGCGGACGAGUGGUGUAUACCUCCGAAUCUACUUUUUCGUGGGUCUUAACGUAGGGAAACUUACGCUACUACCUCAUAGUCCCUACUCGGGAAAGCAUGAGAUCUUCGGACCUUGCGCGAGUGAGCGAGCCGAUGUGGGAUUUUCUUGUUGCCGGGAAAAAGGCCCACCAAGGCGACGAUCCGUAGCUGGUCUGAGUGGAUGAUCGGCCAGACUGGAACCGGGACACGGUCCAGACUCCUACGGGAGGCAGCAGUGGGGACUCUUGGGCAAUGGGCGCCAGCCUGAUCCCGCCACACCGCGUGGGUGAAGAAGGUCUUCGGGUUGUAAAGCCCUUUUGUUGGGAAAGAAAAGCAGCAGGUUACUACCCCGAUGUUCUGACGGUACCCAACGAAUAAGCACCGGCUACCUUCGUG